Molecule: small RNA, 668 nt
Filed under: Pongo abelii (Sumatran orangutan)
Lineage: Eukaryota; Metazoa; Chordata; Mammalia; Primates; Hominidae
Description: processed transcript
Source: RNAcentral
UCAGACAAAAAAGCAUGAAAGACACUUCAAUACAGGAAGUAGUUUCAAGACCAUCUUCCAAAAGAAUGACCAGUCACACAACGAAAACGAGAAAGGCGGAUGAAACCAACACCACCAGCAGAUCCUCUGCACAAACAAAAUCUGAAGGAUUCCAUGACAUCUUGCCAAAGUCCCCAGAUACCUUUAGACGGUAAGAGAAGCAGCAAACCUGUUUCUCCUCAUUUGGCCACUGGCUGCCAGUGAGUUCGCGUGAUGGGCACACAGAAAUGCACACAGAUGUACAUACACGUAUGUAUGCACACACAGUAUAUGAUUCCAUAAAAUUCAAAUGCAGAUUAAUUCUCCUAAUGAGUUUUCAGUGUUGAAUCGUAAAUAGUCUGAAGCAGGCCAGUGUUCCUUUUGGCUGCCAGUCUUGGAUUAGUAAAAGAGGUAAUUCUUUCAGAUUCCCUGGUUCUUUGCCACUCAGAGUAUUGUACUUUUGAUAUAGAAUAGAGAAGGUUACCUUUGGUUUAAAAACUAUUUUUAUAUACUAGCUCUUUCAUGUAUAAAACAGAGACAAUCAUCCUAACAAAAGAGUUUGUUAUUUUUCUGCACAAAUGUCUUGUGUUGAAACACUGUUACAGUUCCAUAUAAAUGUGUGCUAUAUAAAAUAAACUUUGCAGAUAAAA